RNAcentral lists this ribosomal RNA (468 nucleotides) under uncultured bacterium. Its description in RNAcentral is "partial 16S ribosomal RNA". It matches the Rfam family "Bacterial small subunit ribosomal RNA", at positions 28 to 523 of the family's 1533-position model. The record is from RNAcentral.
GAUGAACGCUGGCGGCGUGCCUAACACAUGCAAGUCGAGCGAUUCUCUUCGGAGAAGAGCGGCGGACGGGUGAGUAACGCGUGGGUAACCUGCCCUGUACACACGGAUAACAUACCGAAAGGUAUGCUAAUACGGGAUAAUAUGCUUUAGUCGCAUGGCUGAAGUAUCAAAGCUCCGGCGGUACAGGAUGGACCCGCGUCUGAUUAGCUAGUUGGUAAGGUAAUGGCUUACCAAGGCGACGAUCAGUAGCCGACCUGAGAGGGUGAUCGGCCACAUUGGAACUGAGACACGGUCCAGACUCCUACGGGAGGCAGCAGUGGGGAAUAUUGCACAAUGGGCGAAAGCCUGAUGCAGCAACGCCGCGUGAGCGAUGAAGGCCUUCGGGUCGUAAAGCUCUGUCCUCAAGGAAGAUAAUGACGGUACUUGAGGAGGAAGCCCCGGCUAACUACGUGCCAGCAGCCGCGGUAA